CGAGCCUUCGCUACCGGUUGACUUGAGGAAGGUAAGGGAGAAUCGAUUCCUGUGGAGGCGCUGAAUGCGCAGAUAUCAGACGAACACAGUGGCGAAGGCGGUUCUCUGGGCCUUUCCUGACGCUGAGGAGCGAAAGCGUGGGGAGCGACAGGCUUAGAUACCCCGGUAGUCACGCUGUAAACGGUGGGUACUAGGUGUGGGGUCCAUUCCACGGGUUCCGUGCCGUAGCUAACGCUUUAAGUACCCCGCCUGGGGAGUACGGCCGCAAGGCUAAAACUCAAAGGAAUUGACGGGGCCCCGCACAAGCGGCGGAGCAUGCGGAUUAAUUCGAUGCAACGCGUAGAACCUUACCUGGGUUUGACAUGGAUCGGGAGUGCUCAGAGAUGGGUGUGCCUCUUUUGGGGUCGGUUCACAGGUGGUGCAUGGCUGUCGUCAGCUCGUGUCGUGAGAUGUUGGGUUAAGUCCCGCAACGAGCGCAACCCUUGUUCACUGUUGCCAGCACGUUAUGGUGGGGACUCAGUGGAGACCGCCGGGGUCAACUCGGAGGAAGGUGGGGAUGACGUCAAGUCAUCAUGCCCCUUAUGUCCAGGGCUUCACGCAUGCUACAAUGGCUGGUACAGAGAGUGGCGAGCCUGUGAGGGUGAGCGAAUCUCGGAAAGCCGGUCUCAGUUCGGAUUGGGGUCUGCAACUCGACCUCAUGAAGUCGGAGUCGCUAGUAAUCGCAGAUCCAGCAACGCUGCGGUGAAUACGUUCCCGGGGCUUGUACACACCGCCCGUC
RNAcentral lists this ribosomal RNA (778 nucleotides) under uncultured bacterium. RNAcentral describes it as "bacterial SSU rRNA". It matches the Rfam family "Bacterial small subunit ribosomal RNA", at positions 620 to 1398 of the family's 1533-position model. The record is from RNAcentral.